This 492-nucleotide ribosomal RNA is filed under the name uncultured bacterium. RNAcentral's name for it is "partial 16S ribosomal RNA". It matches the Rfam family "Bacterial small subunit ribosomal RNA", at positions 29 to 507 of the family's 1533-position model. The record is from RNAcentral.
AGUGAACGCUGGCGGUAGGCCUAACACAUGCAAGUCGAACGGCAGCACAGUAAGAGCUUGCUCUUACGGGUGGCGAGUGGCGGACGGGUGAGGAAUACAUCGGAAUCUACUUUUUCGUGGGGGAUAACGUAGGGAAACUUACGCUACUACCGCAUACGACCUACGGGUGAAAGCAGGGGAUCUUCGGACCUUGCGCGAUUGAAUGAGCCGAUGUCGGAUUAGCUAGUUGGCGGGGUAAAGGCCCACCAAGGCGACGAUCCGUAGCUGAUCUGAGAGGAUGAUCAGCCACACUGGAACUGAGACACGGUCCAGACUCCUACGGGAGGCAGCAGUGGGGAAUAUUGGACAAUGGGCGCAAGCCUGAUCCAGCCAUACCGCGUGAGUGAAGAAGGCCUUCGGGUUGUAAAGCCCUUUUGUUGGGAAAGAAAAGCAGCAGGUUAAUACCCCGCUGUUCUGACGGUACCCAAAGAAUAAGCACCGGCUAACUUCGUG